CUUGACCAGUCAGCGGAGCCUAAUGCUACUUUCUCUGUUCAACACAGCAAUCUGGGUGGGAGCAGGCGACCCAGCAAGACCCUGGCCGACCUGGCCCAGCCCAGCACACUCUGCACCGCCUGGUUGGCCUUCGCUGGCAGCACAUCUGGGCUACUGAAUCUAGGACAGCUGAGUCUAUCCCCAGCAGCUGUUUGUCUAUUUCCUUCGUGUCUGGUACUUCCAGAUGCCUCGAGAGAGGGCGGACGUGUCCACUCCUGUGUACAGAGAGAAGGGCCACCGGACAUCUGGGCCUCCCUGCAGUAAAUCGUUCAAGGGCGUGUGAACGCUACCCCCAAGGGCUGCUUUGUCACAAAAUCAGUGCCAGUAAGAAAGGAGCUGUGCUACCUGUGAGUCCCAGAGCAUUAGCAUGGAAAUGUUUAUAAUCACCGAGCUGCUAAGUCACCGUUGAGUUCCUGAGCACCUACCAAGUCCAAGGCAGUGCGAACAAUAGCCGUCAUUGAGUCCCACUCAUCUAUUUCAUUUUUUAAAGGUAUUUAUUUAUUUAUUUAUUUUCCUCCUGUGCAUGAAUGGUGGGGGAUGGGAGGGGGAGAGCAGAGGGCGAGGAGCAGAGGCAGAGGGAGAGGGAAAGGGAGAAAGAAAGGGAGAGAAUCUGGGGUGUGUGGGUGGCUCAGUUGUUCAACCGUCUGCCUUCGGCUCAGGUCAUGAUCCC
This 709-nucleotide long non-coding RNA is filed under the name Mustela putorius furo (domestic ferret). Its description in RNAcentral is "lncRNA (ENSMPUG00000029359.1)". The record is from RNAcentral. Lineage: Eukaryota; Metazoa; Chordata; Mammalia; Carnivora; Mustelidae.